RNAcentral lists this long non-coding RNA (244 nucleotides) under Setaria viridis. Its description in RNAcentral is "long non-coding RNA (SVIR_LNC003259)". The record is from RNAcentral. Lineage: Eukaryota; Viridiplantae; Streptophyta; Magnoliopsida; Poales; Poaceae.
UUCGUAGUAAAUCCUCAAUAUAUCAUCCUUGCAUUCAGACUUCUUGGUUAAUUGAUCCACAAUGAGCAUGGAAUCCCCAAAAAUUUCCACCGCGUCGACCUUGACCUCCCUCAAUAAUUGAAUCCCUUUUAGAACAGCUCGGUAUUCCGCUUGAUUAUUAGUAGCAGAUGCUUAAAUUGGCAGAGAGAAAUCAUAACUUGCCCCCCGGGGUGAUAUGAGGAUGAUGUCGAUUCCUGAUCCGGCC